GGCCAAUUGAAGUGCAUGCUCACGAUCCUUUAAGAUACGUUGGUGAUAUGCUGGGAUGGUUGCAUCAGGCAUUGGCAUCUGAAAGAGAGCUUGUCCUUGCAUUGCUUGACCCGGAUGCAUCAGAUACUAGACCAGCUAGUCAUAACUACUCCAAAGGCAUAGAUAGCGAGUCUGAGAAGACAGAAUCUGACUUGACUUUUGUUCUAGACAGGAUAUUUGAAGGAGUUUGCCGCCCUUUUAAAGUUAGAGUGGAACAAGUUUUGCACUCCCAACCUAAUCUUAUAAUUUCUUACAAGCUUAGCAAUACACUGGAGUUCUAUUUCUAUACAAUAUCGGAUUUGCUGGGGAUAGAAACAUCUCUUUGUAAUACCUUAUUGGUUCUCAAGGAAGCAGCCCAGAAAACAUUUUUUGACAUACUGAAGGGUCGAGGCGAGAAGCUUUUGAGGUAUCCUCCAUUGGUAGCUGUUGAUCUUUCUCCACCACCAGCUUUAAGGGAAGGAGUUUCAGUGCUGCUUGAAAUUAUUCAAACACAUGAUAGCAUGAUGUUCCCUGCAUCAGGAAAGAAGCCCGACUUUGAUCCAGUUAUAUCUGCUUUGCUAGACCCUAUUAUUCAGAUGUGUGAGCAAGCAGCAGAGGCGCACAAGUCAAAAGGUUCCAUGCACUCCUCAAGAAGGAACAGAAUUACUUCUGAUCCAAGUCAACAUCGCAAAACAUCGGUUGAUGCUCUUUUGGAUGGCAGCAAUUCAGCACUUUUAACGCAGACCAGUGAAACUCCAGCCAAAAUUUUCCUUAUCAACUGCUUAUGUGCAAUCCAGCAACCACUUCUAGGACAUGAUGUUGCAAGCGGCUACGCGAAGAAGCUAGGUGUGAUGAUAGACAAUCACAUAAAUGCUCUCGUGGAAAAAGAAGUUGAAGCUAUUCUAAGAAGAUGUGAUUUAUUAACUAAAAUGUCACAUUUCCGCAAGUCAUUAGAAAUUAAUGAAUCUAGCAACUCCAUAGCAAGGACACCAUUAGCAGAACAAGAGGAUACAUCUCCGGUUUCUGUUGCGGAGAGUUUGAAGGCUUUAUUUGGUCUCAUUUUAGGCAGUGAAACUGCCAUUCCUGAAUUUGAGCAGAUGCAAGUUCCCAGAUUGCGAUCAGAAACAAGUGUUCAGGUAGCUAGAUCGCUUGCCGAAGCUUACGAGCUUAUUUACAGAGCUAUCAUGGAUCCUGAGAAUGGCUACACCGAUCCAAAGUCAUUGGCUAGACAUCCACCUGAUCAGAUAAGAACAAUUUUGGGAAUUUGAUAACUGAAUUAUACUUGUAAUUUGUAGUACGUUGUCUGAUAUUUGUAUUUUUCACUUUUUGAUUCAUAUUUUCU
RNAcentral lists this unclassified non-coding RNA (1360 nucleotides) under Hevea brasiliensis (rubber tree). The record is from RNAcentral. Lineage: Eukaryota; Viridiplantae; Streptophyta; Magnoliopsida; Malpighiales; Euphorbiaceae.